Long non-coding RNA from Pipra filicauda (Wire-tailed manakin), 407 nucleotides. RefSeq lists it as uncharacterized. The transcript has 3 exons. NCBI's taxonomy places the organism in Eukaryota, Metazoa, Chordata, Aves, Passeriformes, Pipridae. The record is from RefSeq and is a predicted model, not a curated record.
CAGGUGCUCACCCUUUCCAACAACCAAGUUCCAGAUAUCAAUACUGGAGGACUGAGUGGAUUUUCAGUGAUGGAGGAACACAAAUCCUACCAAGCUGCUGUGGAGACUUUUGUUUCUAAAUCAAGGUGGUGUCCAUUCGGGUACUCAAGUCUCAGUACAGAAAAGCCCCUAAGCUUCUACUUAAAGUCACAUACAGUUGGGAAAACAUGACGGCAUGUGACAAAUCCAGGACAGGUGAAAUGGAUGGAGGACCUUCAUCUUGCAAAAAAAUUACCAUGAACUUUGCAUCUGGAACCUGCCUCCCUCCUCUGCUUCCUCACAGAUUCCAGUGGACAGAGGUCUAUUUUUUCAUUUAUUCGUUUUAUUAUCCCAUGUCAGAUUUAUUCAAUAAACUUCACCCACAUCAU